AUAUUAAAGUUGUUGCAGUUAAAAAGCUCGUAGUUGAACCUUGGGCCUGGCUGGCGGNCCGNUCACCGCGUGCACUGGUUCGGCCGGGCCUUUCCUUCUGGGGAACCGCAUGCCCUUUACUGGGCGUGUUGGGGAACCAGGACUUUUACUUUGAAAAAAUUAGAGUGUUCAAAGCAGGCCUUCGCUCGAAUACUUAGCAUGGAAUAAUAGAAUAGGACGUGCGGUUCUAUUUUGUUGGUUUCUAGGACCGCCGUAAUGAUUAAUAGGGAUAGUCGGGGCCAUCCGUAUUCAAUUGUCAGAGGUGAAAUUCUUGGAUUUAUUGAAGACGAACUACUGCGAAACGAUUUGGCAAGGAUGUUUUCAUUAAUCAGUGAACGAAAGUUAGGGGAUCGAAGACGAUCAGAUACCGUCGUAGUCUUAACCA
Molecule: ribosomal RNA, 424 nt
Filed under: Elsinoe veneta
Lineage: Eukaryota; Fungi; Ascomycota; Dothideomycetes; Myriangiales; Elsinoaceae
Description: SSU rRNA
Rfam family: Eukaryotic small subunit ribosomal RNA
Source: RNAcentral